GUGCCAGCAGCCGCGGUAAUACGUAGGGCGCGAGCGUUGUCCGGAAUUAUUGGGCGUAAAGAGCUCGUAGGCGGCUGGUCGCGUCUGUCGUGAGAUCCUCUGGCUUAACUGGGGGCUUGCGGUGGGUACGGGCCGGCUUGAGUGCGGUAGGGGAGACUGGAACUCCUGGUGUAGCGGUGGAAUGCGCAGAUAUCAGGAAGAACACCGGUGGCGAAGGCGGGUCUCUGGGCCGUUACUGACGCUGAGGAGCGAAAGCGUGGGGAGCGAACAGGAUU
RNAcentral lists this ribosomal RNA (275 nucleotides) under uncultured Actinomycetales bacterium. RNAcentral describes it as "partial 16S ribosomal RNA". It matches the Rfam family "Bacterial small subunit ribosomal RNA", at positions 505 to 779 of the family's 1533-position model. Lineage: Bacteria; Bacillati; Actinomycetota; Actinomycetes; Actinomycetales. The record is from RNAcentral.